Molecule: ribosomal RNA, 492 nt
Filed under: uncultured bacterium
Lineage: Bacteria
Description: partial 16S ribosomal RNA
Rfam family: Bacterial small subunit ribosomal RNA
Source: RNAcentral
GAUGAACGCUAGCUACAGGCUUAACACAUGCAAGUCGAGGGGAAACGACAUCGAAAGCUUGCUUUUGAUGGGCGUCGACCGGCGCACGGGUGAGUAACGCGUAUCCAACCUGCCCACCACUUGGGGAUAACCUUGCGAAAGUAAGACUAAUACCCAAUGAUAUCCCACGAAGACAUCUGAAUGGGAUUAAAGAUUUAUCGGUGAUGGAUGGGGAUGCGUCUGAUUAGCUUGUUGGCGGGGUAACGGCCCACCAAGGCAACGAUCAGUAGGGGUUCUGAGAGGAAGGUCCCCCACAUGGGAACUGAGACACGGUCCAAACUCCUACGGGAGGCAGCAGUGAGGAAUAUUGGUCAAUGGGCGAGAGCCUGAACCAGCCAAGUAGCGUGCAGGAAGACGGCCCUAUGGGUUGUAAACUGCUUUUAUAAGGGAAUAAAGUGGGUCACGUGUGACUUUUUGCAUGUACCUUAUGAAUAAGGACCGGCUAAGUCCGUG